Podarcis lilfordi (Lilford's wall lizard) is the source of this 89-nucleotide non-coding RNA. The record is from the annotation of a GenBank genome assembly. Lineage: Eukaryota; Metazoa; Chordata; Lepidosauria; Squamata; Lacertidae.
GCCCUCCCUGGGAUAACUCACUUGGUAGAACAUGAUAGAGCAUGAGACUCGUAAUCUCAGGGUUGUGGGUUCAAGGCCCACAUUGGGCA